RNAcentral lists this ribosomal RNA (250 nucleotides) under uncultured bacterium. RNAcentral's name for it is "partial 16S ribosomal RNA". It matches the Rfam family "Bacterial small subunit ribosomal RNA", at positions 28 to 289 of the family's 1533-position model. The record is from RNAcentral.
GACGAACGCUGGCGGCGUGCCUAACACAUGCAAGUCACGGGGGCCCGCAAGGGCAACCGGCGAACGGGUGCGUAACACGUGAGCAAUUUGCCGAUUUCUGGGGGAUAGCCGGUCCAACGACCGGGUAAUACCGCAUACGCUCAUCGGGGGGCAUCCCCUGGUGAGGAAAGCUCCGGCGGAAAUCGAGAAGCUCGCGUCCUAUCAGCUAGUUGGUGCGGUCACGGCGCACCAAGGCGACGACGGGUAGCUG